This 69-nucleotide transfer RNA is filed under the name Rasbora dusonensis (rosefin rasbora). Its description in RNAcentral is "tRNA-Glu". It matches the Rfam family "tRNA". From Rfam's summary of the family: Transfer RNA (tRNA) molecules are approximately 80 nucleotides in length. Their secondary structure includes four short double-helical elements and three loops (D, anti-codon, and T loops). Further hydrogen bonds mediate the characteristic L-shaped molecular structure. tRNAs have two regions of fundamental functional importance: the anti-codon, which is responsible for specific mRNA codon recognition, and the 3' end, to which the tRNAs corresponding amino acid is attached (by aminoacyl-tRNA synthetases). tRNAs cope with the degeneracy of the genetic code in two manners: having more than one tRNA (with a specific anti-codon) for a particular amino acid; and 'wobble' base-pairing, i.e. permitting non-standard base-pairing at the 3rd anti-codon position. Lineage: Eukaryota; Metazoa; Chordata; Actinopteri; Cypriniformes; Danionidae. The record is from RNAcentral.
GUUCUUGUAGUAAAAUAAUUACAGUGGUUCUUCAAGUCAUUGGUCCCGGUUAAAGUCCGAGCAGGAAUU